Molecule: ribosomal RNA, 865 nt
Filed under: uncultured Bacillus sp.
Lineage: Bacteria; Bacillati; Bacillota; Bacilli; Caryophanales; Bacillaceae
Description: bacterial SSU rRNA
Rfam family: Bacterial small subunit ribosomal RNA
Source: RNAcentral
GCUGGCUGGCGUGCCUAAUACAUGCAAGUCGAGCGGACAGAAGGGAGCUUGCUCCCGGAUGUUAGCGGCGGACGGGUGAGUAACACGUGGGUAACCUGCCUGUAAGACUGGGAUAACUCCGGGAAACCGGAGCUAAUACCGGAUAGUUCCUUGAACCGCAUGGUUCAAGGAUGAAAGACGGUUUCGGCUGUCACUUACAGAUGGACCCGCGGCGCAUUAGCUAGUUGGUGAGGUAACGGCUCACCAAGGCGACGAUGCGUAGCCGACCUGAGAGGGUGAUCGGCCACACUGGGACUGAGACACGGCCCAGACUCCUACGGGAGGCAGCAGUAGGGAAUCUUCCGCAAUGGACGAAAGUCUGACGGAGCAACGCCGCGUGAGUGAUGAAGGUUUUCGGAUCGUAAAGCUCUGUUGUUAGGGAAGAACAAGUGCAAGAGUAACUGCUUGCACCAUGACGGUACCUAACCAGAAAGCCACGGCUAACUACGUGCCAGCAGCCGCGGUAAUACGUAGGUGGCAAGCGUUGUCCGGAAUUAUUGGGCGUAAAGGGCUCGCAGGCGGUUUCUUAAGUCUGAUGUGAAAGCCCCCGGCUCAACCGGGGAGGGUCAUUGGAAACUGGGAAACUUGAGUGCAGAAGAGGAGAGUGGAAUUCCACGUGUAGCGGUGAAAUGCGUAGAGAUGUGGAGGAACACCAGUGGCGAAGGCGACUCUCUGGUCUGUAACUGACGCUGAGGAGCGAAAGCGUGGGGAGCGAACAGGAUUAGAUACCCUGGUAGUCCACGCCGUAAACGAUGAGUGCUAAGUGUUAGGGGGUUUCCGCCCCUUAGUGCUGCAGCUAACGCAUUAAGCACUCCGCCUGGGGAGU